RNAcentral lists this ribosomal RNA (187 nucleotides) under uncultured rumen bacterium. RNAcentral describes it as "partial 16S ribosomal RNA". It matches the Rfam family "Bacterial small subunit ribosomal RNA", at positions 340 to 524 of the family's 1533-position model. The record is from RNAcentral.
UACGGGAGGCAGCAGUGAGGAAUAUUGGUCAAUGGACGAGAGUCUGAACCAGCCAAGUAGCGUGCAGGAUGACUGCCCUAUGGGUUGUAAACUGCUUUUAUACAGGGAUAAAGUGCGCCACGUGUGGUGUAUUGCAGGUACUGUAUGAAUAAGGACCGGCUAAUUCCGUGCCAGCAGCCGCGGUAAU